RNAcentral lists this ribosomal RNA (490 nucleotides) under uncultured bacterium. RNAcentral's name for it is "partial 16S ribosomal RNA". It matches the Rfam family "Bacterial small subunit ribosomal RNA", at positions 30 to 507 of the family's 1533-position model. The record is from RNAcentral.
AUUGAACGCUGGCGGCAGGCCUAACACAUGCAAGUCGAACGGUAACAGGAAGAAGCUUGCUUCUUUGCUGACGAGUGGCGGACGGGUGAGUAAUGUCUGGGAAACUGCCUGAUGGAGGGGGAUAACUACUGGAAACGGUAGCUAAUACCGCAUAACGUCGCAAGACCAAAGAGGGGGACCUUCUGGCCUCUUGCCAUCGGAUGUGCCCAGAUGGGAUUAGCUAGUAGGUGGGGUAACGGCUCACCUAGGCGACGAUCCCUAGCUGAUCUGAGAGGAUGACUGGCGACACGGUAACAGUAACACGCUCCAGACUCCGAUGAGAAGCAGCAGUGGGGGAGAUUGGACAAUGGGCGCAAGCCUGAUGCAGCCAGGCCGAGUGUAUGAAGAAGGCCUUCGGGUUGGAAAGUACUUUCUGCGGGGAGGAAGGGAGCAAAGUUAAUACCUUUGCUCAUUGACGUUACCCGCAGAAGAAGCACCGGCUAACUCCGUG